RNAcentral lists this ribosomal RNA (451 nucleotides) under uncultured Verrucomicrobiota bacterium. RNAcentral describes it as "bacterial SSU rRNA". It matches the Rfam family "Bacterial small subunit ribosomal RNA", at positions 923 to 1367 of the family's 1533-position model. Lineage: Bacteria; Pseudomonadati; Verrucomicrobiota. The record is from RNAcentral.
GCACAAGCGGAGGAGCAUGUGGCUUAAUUCGAUGCAACGCGAAGAACCUUACCAGGGCUUGACAUAUACCUGCAAGCCCCCUGAAAGGGGGGAAUCCUUCGAGGGUGGUAUACAGGUGCUGCAUGGCUGUCGUCAGUUCGUGCCGUGAGGUGUUUGGUUAAGUCCAGUAACGAACGCAACCCUUGUGGUUAGUUGCCACCGUCGGUGAUGAGCCGGCGAGCACUCUAGCCAGACUGCCCGUACAAGCGGGAGGAAGGUGGGGAUGACGUCAAGUCAGUAUGGCCCUUACGCCCUGGGCUGCACACGUGCUACAAUGGUAGGUAUAGAGGGAUGCAAGACCGCGAGGUGGAGCAAAUCCCCAAAACCUGCCCCAGUUCGGAUUGGAGUCUGCAACUCGACUCCAUGAAGUUGGAUUCGCUAGUAAAGGCGUAUCAGCUACGACGCCUGUAAU